UCGAUUCGAUCGAAAAUGUUCUUCCUCUUCAAAAGGAGUUUACAACCUUACGGCUUUCAUCCUCCACGCGGCGUUGCUGGGUCACCCUUGCGGGCAUUGCCCAAUAUUCCUCACUGCUGCCUCCCGUAGGAG
Molecule: ribosomal RNA, 132 nt
Filed under: uncultured bacterium
Lineage: Bacteria
Description: partial 16S ribosomal RNA
Source: RNAcentral